AUAGACUUCAUAGUUGGAGUUCAAUAAAAAAAAAAAAAUAAAUAAAAAAAAAUCUAAAAAUAUUUAAAACAUUUCCUAAUGCAUAGGAGAUGAUUAAAUUAUUAUUAUUAUUAAUAUUAUUAUUAUUAUUAUUAUUAUUAUUAUUAUUGCUGGGUUGUAAAAAGCCUUUUUUUUUUUUCUUUUUCUCACAAACAUAUUUUCAUAAGACCACUGAACAAUGUGUCAUAUGUACAGUCUUUUUAUAAUUUGAUGUAUGAUUUUAUUUUCAUUGUCCACAAAGAAGAAUCAAAUAAAGCUCUUUUUUGAUGAAUUACAUCUGACCUCUUUCAGAGUAGUUCUUUCAUUCUGAGAAAAAACGCACAUCAUACUCCAUUUAUGAUAAGCAAUAGUUCCACUGGCAUCACUAAAACAUCACAAAACUCAAUAAAGCUUCAAGAUUAUUACAACUCUAAACAGUGUUUCACAAAUACAUUUAAGUUGAAUAGUUUAGACUAAAUUGACUAGACAAUGUUCCUGUCUCAGUUAUAAGGUGCUUUAUGUCUGAUCUGGCUGUUAGAAAGACUUUUGUCAGUGCAAAUUAAUGUAGAUUUAUUCAGCCAUUUUAAAUAAUAGUUUGACAUGAAUAAAUGUAAUAAUUUAGAUAAUGCAGGCAGACAGGGGAAACUAAAACUCAAUGACAAUAAAACAGAACAUACAUGUUAUAUCACCAAGCUCUAAUCUGUUAAAUGAGAUUAUAAGACUUAAAGAAAUUAAGAUAUUAUAAACUGUAACGGAGAUCCACUGGAGGCAAGCCGUUAAGAACUCAAGUGCAGUUUUAUUUAACAAACUAAAUCAUACAAGAAUCCAAACAUAAAAGAAAGACUUGACUUGGCUUUGACUUGAACUUAGCAAACAAGGAACAGGAACAAACUCACCAAACAGAGGUACAGGGAACAAUGCAUGACCAAGACACAUGGCAAACACGAGGGUUUGCUAAAGACAUAACAAGACAUGCCUGAAAGUGAUUAAACCAAUGAACCAAUGAAAACAUGGGACACAUGACAAGGGAGCACAUGGCAGGAUCACAUGAUACACAUUUAGCCAUUCUUGAAAAUGGCAAAAGACCCAGCAGCUCGGGCUGAGUCAGCAGGGAACAGUCAAGGAAGCAAAAUUGGUAAGAAAAUGCAGAUGGGAUCCGGAAAAUUCCACGAGCCUGGACUCGAACUUAGGAUUCUUUAUACUCAACUGCAUCAAAAGGUGUCACUGAAAUUUGCCUUAAGACAGAUACCACGGAAUAUAUCAGCAUUCCUGGUCAUCCUACGGUCCUUCCGUUAGAGGUUGCCCUAACAAUGCUUGCUAACAAGGACCCCAGCAUUCCACAGAUAGUUCAGCUGCUGGAGUGACAGGACCAGCUCAGCUUCUACAUCAUGGUCUUGGAACGCCCCUCACACUGCAAGGAUCUGUUUGAUUUCCUGGAGCAUCACGGAGGCAUCCUUCAGUGAGGACAUAGCAUGACUUAGUCGGCGUUCUGACAGAACCUGAAAGCGCUGGACUUAAACAACAUGAACGAAGGUCUUACGGGUGCGGAACGACAUAAGGG
Long non-coding RNA from Ctenopharyngodon idella (grass carp), 1579 nucleotides. RefSeq lists it as uncharacterized. Lineage: Eukaryota; Metazoa; Chordata; Actinopteri; Cypriniformes; Xenocyprididae. The transcript has 5 exons. The record is from RefSeq and is a predicted model, not a curated record.